RNAcentral lists this unclassified non-coding RNA (518 nucleotides) under Hevea brasiliensis (rubber tree). The record is from RNAcentral. Lineage: Eukaryota; Viridiplantae; Streptophyta; Magnoliopsida; Malpighiales; Euphorbiaceae.
AUGAAAACUUUGAAAGUGAAUUUGGACAUGUUCCUCCUGUGCUGCGUACCGUAUUAGAAAUCUUACCGCUGUUGCAUCCAACUGAACUCAUCUCUUCAAUGUGGCUUGUUCUUCUUAGGGAGCUUUUACAAUAUCUUCCAAGAUCAGAUUCUUCUUUGCAAAAAAAUGAUGAGGAGGUUAAGCAAGCCAGCAUUACUGAUAAUGUACCAGGCAAUAAUAUAAAGAGAAAGGAUGAAAUGCCCAAUGGUACAGCUUCCAUUUUCCCAAAAGAAGCUGAAGCCCCACCUCAGGGUUCUGGAUCAACGAUAACAGUAUUGGGUGGAAUUCCAAGUUAUGCAUUUGCAGAAAAGCUUGUUCCUGUGCUGAUAGAUCUUUUCCUACAUGCUGCAGCAGUUGAAAAAUAUAUUAUAUUUCCUGAAAUUAUUCAGAGUCUCGGAAGGUGUAUGACUACAAGAAGAGACAAUCCAGAUGGUUCACUUUGGAGAGUGGCUGUUGAAGGCUUCAACCGUGUUCUUGCU